Molecule: transfer RNA, 74 nt
Filed under: Phycisphaerae bacterium
Lineage: Bacteria; Pseudomonadati; Planctomycetota; Phycisphaerae
Also listed under: 4 other names
Description: tRNA-Arg
Rfam family: tRNA
About the family: Transfer RNA (tRNA) molecules are approximately 80 nucleotides in length. Their secondary structure includes four short double-helical elements and three loops (D, anti-codon, and T loops).
Source: RNAcentral
GCGCCCGUAGCUCAGUAGGAUAGAGCGUCGGUUUCCUAAACCGAAGGUCACAGGUUCGAAUCCUGUCGGGCGUA